CUCACUCUCCCUUCCAAUAAUAACAAUGUCCUUUCACGUCCUGGAGAAGGCUGCCGGAAUACAAAAGAUCAGGCUCUGUGCUUGGCGUCAGAAGACCUGGGCUCACCACUUACUACAGUCAAUCCCACAAACAAGAGGUCUCCGCCGGCAACCUCCAUCUCCUCAAAGGGAUGACACCCCACUCUAAGUCAGAACACCACUCCGCCACCUCUCCGCUACGCUGGAGAACUCUGGUAAGAAGUGGUUUGUUGUGAAGGGUUCAUUGCUGUUGGGUAAACAAGGGAGGAUUCUUCAAGGGACUUCCAGUAUCCAUGAAACAAUAGAUCAAAGGGGGGCCCAAAAAUGUCAAGGGAGACCAAAGAAAGAAGAAAGGGUUGGUUUUGUCCCACCUGGGAAACACCUGCCCUUGGAGUAGGG
RNAcentral lists this long non-coding RNA (417 nucleotides) under Mustela putorius furo (domestic ferret). RNAcentral's name for it is "lncRNA (ENSMPUG00000028590.1)". Lineage: Eukaryota; Metazoa; Chordata; Mammalia; Carnivora; Mustelidae. The record is from RNAcentral.